AGCCUAAUUCUGCCAACUGCCAGCCAACUGCUGGCAGUUUGAAUCUCACCGGCUCAAGGUUAAUUCAGCCUUCCAUCUGAGAUCGGUAAAAUGAGGACCCAGAUUGCUGGGGCAAUAUGCUGACUCUGUAAAUGGCUUAGAGCGGGCUGUAAAGCACCAUGAAGUGGUAUACAAAUCUGCUAUUGCUAUUACUAGCCUAUGGAUAGAUUCAGAACACAAGAGAUGAAGUAUUUAUUUUGGUUCAACAAAGGAGUCCCAGAAAAUCAGUACCAUCAGUACCACAGAAUGGCAGUAGAUAGAUAUCUUCAGAUUCUUUGCAGAUAUUCAGCAACCAACCUAAUUUGUAGCCUGCAUAUUGGAAUCUUAUCAAAAGAAAUUUUAAUUUCUUCAUAUUCCAAGGAUAUGUUCAAGAAGAAACAAAAGAAAAGAACAGUAAGACGAUAUAUCACUAUCCAAACAGUGAACCCAGAGCCAGAUCAUCUUUUUCCAGUUACGCUCUCUGAGUUUCUUCAAGAGGGAUGCUGAAUGGGAUGCACUUUUUCACCAGCAGAGGGAGAGUUCUACCAACAAAUCAGGGCAGCCCUAUUGACUCCAGAAUAUCUAUCCUCUUAUCUUUUGUUUGUUUAACAUACAGCUGGCUUUUCCUAUCAGAUUGAACCACUCUCAUUUUCAGGACUCAUUAGAAGGUUUUGUUAAGAACCAUAACCAAGCAAGGGUUUGCGGGACUUAAAAUUACUUUAUUAAAGAAAUCUUUUGUCAACCAUAUGUUUUUUGUGAGGAAAAUAAGAGGAAAGAGGAGAAUUGGUAUUAUUUCUGCCUUGAAUUGUAUAUGAAAAAAGAGGAAAUAAAUUUUUUAAAAGAGCUUCAUCAAUUUACAUAUAAGAUAAAGACUUUAUUAAAAAUGAUUGCUGACCUGCUGCAGCAAGAAUCA
Non-coding RNA from Pantherophis guttatus, 931 nucleotides. The record is from RefSeq and is a predicted model, not a curated record. NCBI's taxonomy places the organism in Eukaryota, Metazoa, Chordata, Lepidosauria, Squamata, Colubridae.